GAUGAACGCUAGCGGCAGGCCUAACACAUGCAAGUCGAGGGAUAAGCCUUCGGGCUAAGCCCGGCGCACGGGUGCGUAACGCGUAUACAAUCUGCCUUUUAUCCGGGGGAUAGCCCGAAGAAAUUUGGAUUAAUACCCUAUGGUAUAAGAGCACGGCAUCGUGCACUUAUUAAAGCUACGGCGGUAAAAGAUGAGUAUGCGUUCUAUUAGCUAGUUGGAGAGGUAACGGCUCCCCAAGGCGACGAUAGAUAGGGGUUCUGAGAGGGAUGUCCCCCACACUGGUACUGAGAUACGGACCAGACUCCUACGGGAGGCAGCAGUGAGGAAUAUUGGACAAUGGUCGGAAGACUGAUCCAGCCAUGCCGCGUGCAGGAUGACGGCCUUAUGGGUGGUAAACUGCUUUUGUAAGGGAAGAAUAAGGAGUACGUGUACUUUGAUGACGGUACCUUACGAAUAAGCAUCGGCUAACUCCGUG
Molecule: ribosomal RNA, 475 nt
Filed under: uncultured bacterium
Lineage: Bacteria
Description: partial 16S ribosomal RNA
Rfam family: Bacterial small subunit ribosomal RNA
Source: RNAcentral